Molecule: long non-coding RNA, 302 nt
Organism: Carcharodon carcharias (great white shark)
Lineage: Eukaryota; Metazoa; Chordata; Chondrichthyes; Lamniformes; Lamnidae
Exons: 3
Source: RefSeq, a predicted model, not a curated record
GAGCUCCAGAUCGUCAGGACUGCCGUGAUCUAAGGGAGAGGAGGAUUUGUUGAGAUGUGUUUUGCUGGCGGUAAUCAGAUCUUGGAGACUCAGGCAGAGUUAAAUGAUUGUUGAAGGACACUGUCAACUCUGUUUCAAUUGAUCUGAUGUUCAACAUUGCUUCAGAAUGCCAGUGCUCAGUGACAAAGACAAAUUACAGGCCUCCCUUGCAAGACAUGGUUGGUUUCUAUACAAAAGGCCAAGGUCAGGAACUUGCUGUGUAGAGAAUGGUGGCCCUGAACCCAAGUCCUAUUACUUCACCA